AGUUGACACGUCCGUCCAUUCCAUCCAUUUUCAUUUUUCACUUGUCCGGUCCAUCCAUACAUAGAACAAGUCCGGUCGUCGUUUUGGAUUUUAUAUCAUCCUGUUUCCUUAUAUUGGAGUGAUUAAUUUAGCCAGUAUGACACAGUUAAAUGUUGUGCUAAAAAAGUUUUACGAUGAAUAUUCAAAGAAUACGCCAAUUAAACUCAAGAUCAUUGAUGCAUAUCUGUUUUACAUUCUACUUACAGGAGUUUUUCAAUUCACCUACUGUUGUUUAGUGGGAACUUUUCCCUUCAAUUCUUUCCUUAGUGGUUUCAUCUCCUGUGUUAGUUGCUUUGUUUUAGGUGUGUGUUUGAGGUUGCAAGUUAAUCCUGUCAAUAAGUCAGAAUUCAACACCAUCAGUCCAGAAAGAGGCUUUGCUGACUUUAUAUUUGCUCACAUCAUUUUACACAUAGUGGUCAUGAAUUUCAUCGGCUAAGGAAACUGCACAUCAAUUUGUUUAAGAGUUGAAGACGUUCCAGCUGGCGAGGAGAUGUCACUACGUUCCGUGAGUCGUGAAAACUCCAGUUUUGAAGGCCAUGGAUUUGUCAAGUGUAACUGUCAAGGAGGCUGCGGAACAAAUAGGUGCUCUUGCAGGAAGAAUGGAAGACUUAGUUCAUCUAAAUGCCACAAUUCAUCUGCCUGCACCAACAAAUAACGAGAUUCAUUUCAUGGUUUGGCUCCGGCACCGGUGAUGUGCAGUUGAUUCUCCUUUUCAUCAAUUAACUAACAGAGUUUAUUUUGUUAGGAGACUCCUGGUUUCCUCUUUGCCUGUUCUAACAUUCCAUCAUGUAAAGAACACAUUGGUAAUGCCUAAGUGUAGCACUCCAAUCCAAUACUUUUGUACCAUAUUGUUACUGUCUCUUAGUUCGAAUAAAUCUUUGAAUCUGGAAAGGUGCAA
Bemisia tabaci is the source of this 937-nucleotide RNA transcript. It is a transcript of the gene named dolichyl-diphosphooligosaccharide--protein glycosyltransferase subunit, with no coding region annotated. The record is from RefSeq and is a predicted model, not a curated record. NCBI's taxonomy places the organism in Eukaryota, Metazoa, Arthropoda, Insecta, Hemiptera, Aleyrodidae.